Ceratotherium simum simum (southern white rhinoceros) is the source of this 1385-nucleotide non-coding RNA. NCBI's taxonomy places the organism in Eukaryota, Metazoa, Chordata, Mammalia, Perissodactyla, Rhinocerotidae. The record is from RefSeq and is a predicted model, not a curated record.
GGCAACAUGGCGUCCAGGCCCAAGCGGCAUGCAGUGGGCAGUAGGGUGUCAGUCCCACGCAAGCAGGUAGAAGAGGAAGAUGAAGUCGAGGAUGAGGACAAAGAUGAUGAAGACAGUGAGGAAGAAGAGGAUGAAGACGACAAGAUCAUCGACGAGGAAGUGAAUAUUGAAUUUGAAGCUUACUCUAUCUCAGAUAACGAUUAUGACGGAAUUAAGAAAUUACUGCAGCAGCUUUUCCUAAAGGCUCCUGUGAACACUGCAGAACUAACAGAUCUCUUAAUUCAACAGAACCAUAUUGGGAGUGUGAUUAAGCAAACGGAUGUUUCGGAAGACAGCGAUGACAAUGUGGAUGAAGAUGAGAUUUUUGGUUUUAUAAGUCUUUUAAAUUUAACUGAAAGAAAGGGGACGCAGUGUGCUGAACAAAUUAAAGAGUUGAUUCUAAGCUUCUGUGAGAAGAACUGUGAAAAGAGCAUGGUUGAACAGCUGGACAAGCUUUUAAAUGACACCACUAAGCCUGUGGGCUUUCUACUAAGUGAAAGAUUCAUCAACGUUCCUCCACAGAUUGCUCUGCCCAUGCACCAGCAGCUUCAGAAAGAACUAGCAGAGGCACACAAAACUAACAAGCCAUGUGGGAAGUGCUGCUUCUACCUUCUGAUUAGCAAGACAUUCAUGGAAGCAGGGAAAAAUUCCAAAAAGAAAUGGAGCAAUGAAGAGCAAGUUGAGUUAAUGUUUGCAAAUGCAGAGGAAGAAUUUUUCUAUGAGAAGGCAAUCCUGAAGUUCAGCUACUCGGUGCAGGAGGAGAGUGACACGUGUCUGGGAGGCAGAUGGUCCUUUGAUGAUGUACCAAUGAAGCCCUUGCGAACUGUGAUGUUAAUUCCAGGCGACAAAAUGAAUGAAAUCAUGGAUAAACUGAAAGAACAUCUAUCUGUCUAACCCAUUUCCCAUGGACAGUGGUGUGCUUGUUUUUGUAAAAUGACCAGAAAAUUCAGUGGAGAUUUAUUGAAAAACUUAUGACUUUAUUCAGAUUAAGGUCCUCUACAAAAAGUAGGAUUCUGUUGCCUGUGUCCGUGACACAUUUACAAAAUAUCUUUUUUUUUUUAAUUUUAGUCAAAUUAUGAAUGGUUGAUUAAAAAUUUUUCCAAUAAGAAGAAAUCAUGGAGUAGUAAUUUAAAGAAUUCAAUAAAAACUUCUAUUUUUUAUUUUUAAAUAAUAUACAGUGUUAUUUUUUUCAAGACUAUUCUGUGUGGGGUAUGAUAUCCUUCUUCACGUCGAAUAUCUGCACGUGGCUCCAGUGGCCCAGUUGUUAGGCUAACUUUAGGAUGUUUAUUGCACAGCGUGUUCCGUGUAGAAGAUUCUGAAGAGUCACUGUAUAGUGCAUCUUUGUU